Molecule: long non-coding RNA, 282 nt
Filed under: Gossypium barbadense (sea-island cotton)
Lineage: Eukaryota; Viridiplantae; Streptophyta; Magnoliopsida; Malvales; Malvaceae
Description: long non-coding RNA (GBAR_LNC005296)
Source: RNAcentral
UUAGACUCAGCUUCAAUCAGACCUUCAAAAUAUUUACCUUCAAUACACCAACUUACUUUACUUUCACAUGCUCUUGUGUACAUCUAUUUUCUUUCAAGUACACAUGCUUUCUCUUUUUUUUAUGAGCAUUUUUUUGUAUGUACUACAAUUUGUUUUUUGAGAAUUUGAUACUUCUUUUAAACUCCCCCAAACUUAUUUUCAAAGAAUGUACUGAAUAGUAUUGAGUCUAGUGUUUGGGAUAAUUUAAAGAUAAUUAAGAGAGGAGUGAUGGCUAAAUAUUGC